CAAGGGAGACUGCCGGUGAUAAACCGGAGGAAGGUGGGGAUGACGUCAAGUCAUCAUGGCCCUUACGGCCAGGGCUACACACGUGCUACAAUGGCGCGUACAGAGGGCUGCAAGCUAGCGAUAGUGAGCGAAUCCCAAAAAGCGCGUUGUAGUCCGGAUCGGAGUCUGCAACUGGACUCCGUGAAGUCGGAAUCGCUAGUAAUCGCGAAUCAGAA
This 215-nucleotide ribosomal RNA is filed under the name uncultured Aeromonas sp. RNAcentral describes it as "partial 16S ribosomal RNA". It matches the Rfam family "Bacterial small subunit ribosomal RNA", at positions 1140 to 1354 of the family's 1533-position model. The record is from RNAcentral. Lineage: Bacteria; Pseudomonadati; Pseudomonadota; Gammaproteobacteria; Aeromonadales; Aeromonadaceae.